UGGGGAAUUUUGGACAAUGGGCGAAAGCCUGAUCCAGCAAUGCCGCGUGUGUGAAGAAGGCCUUCGGGUUGUAAAGCACUUUUGUCCGGAAAGAAAUCCUUGGCUCUAAUACAGUCGGGGGAUGACGGUACCGGAAGAAUAAGCACCGGCUAACUACGUGCCAGCAGCCGCGGUAAUACGUAGGGUGCAAGCGUUAAUCGGAAUUACUGGGCGUAAAGCGUGCGCAGGCGGUUUGCUAAGACCGAUGUGAAAUCCCCGGGCUCAACCUGGGAACUGCAUUGGUGACUGGCAGGCUAGAGUAUGGCAGAGGGGGGUAGAAUUCCACGNGUAGCAGUGAAAUGCGUAGAGAUGUGGAGGAAUACCGAUGGCGAAGGCAGCCCCCUGGGCCAAUACUGACGCUCAUGCACGAAAGCGUGGGGAGCAAACAGGAUUAGAUACCCUGGUAGUCCACGCCCUAAAACGAUGUCAACUAGUUGUUGGGGAUUCAUUUCCUUAGUAACGUAGCUAACGCGUGAAGUUGACCGCCUGGGGAGUACGGUCGCAAGAUUAAAACUCAAAGGAAUUGACGGGGUCAUAGCUGUUUCCU
This 586-nucleotide ribosomal RNA is filed under the name uncultured bacterium. RNAcentral's name for it is "partial 16S ribosomal RNA". It matches the Rfam family "Bacterial small subunit ribosomal RNA", at positions 355 to 1375 of the family's 1533-position model. The record is from RNAcentral.